CGGAUCCGUAAUCGGAUUUUGACACUUAUGACAUUUUUACUUUCGUCGACCGCACUAUGAAAACACAUUUGACAUAAAAUACUUCGUUUCUGCGUUCGGAUCUUAGCGUCAAUUUUACGAAAGCUCUAAUCCUUUCGUUUGAUUUUCGUUUGGUACUUCAGAGGUUUUAAAAUUGCUCAAUAACUCCUGUGUGAUGAAUUGUUGCGAUAGGAAAGUGCUGGGCGAAGUUGGAAGCGUCUCUAACUGCGUAAAACCUUCGUAACAUGGAAUUUGUAAGAACUUAUAGGACUUUGCCACCCCUUUUUGAAACCAUCUGCGAGGAUAUAGUUCCACUAAUUCCUCCAAAGAACAUAUACGGGGAAUUGAUACUACCACUAAGGAGUUGUUAGGGAGCUGUGGAACUAAGUAUAGAUGGGUCCAUGGCCCAGCAAACAGUCUCUGAGUGCCUCAGGCAAGUGUCUGAGUCAGCCUCAUAUAUUCACUAAAUUUAUAAAAUUUCCACAAAACCGACAAGAAAGGACUCUUAUUAAAGAACAAAUAAAAUAAUUAAACAACUACUAACUCGCUAGAGCUGCCAUAACCAACACUGCAUCACGCAUGGAAGAUUAACUACCAAAUAUAUGUUAUUGGAA
This 632-nucleotide long non-coding RNA is filed under the name Manduca sexta (tobacco hornworm). Its description in RNAcentral is "uncharacterized LOC119190210". The record is from RNAcentral. Lineage: Eukaryota; Metazoa; Arthropoda; Insecta; Lepidoptera; Sphingidae.